UCCGUAUUGUUAUCAAUUAAAACCCUUUUCCUCCCAAAGCUUCGCGUGUGUUUCACCAACCCUAAACCAAACCCUUCUUCACAAUCAAAUCCAACACGCCCCGACUUCAUUGAAUUACACCUCUUUCCCAAUGCCAUAUUCCAGCGAAUAUUCAAAAUUCCAAAUAAAAAAUCUUUCCCAAAUCUUUAUAAACCCUAGAUUUGAGAGAGAAAGUGAUCCUGUUAAGGUAAAACCCUUAUAAAUUGCGUUUACAAUGAACACAGAAGCGACAGUACUCCACUCCUUAAG
Molecule: unclassified non-coding RNA, 288 nt
Filed under: Hevea brasiliensis (rubber tree)
Lineage: Eukaryota; Viridiplantae; Streptophyta; Magnoliopsida; Malpighiales; Euphorbiaceae
Source: RNAcentral